AUUGAACGCUGGCGGCAUGCCUUACACAUGCAAGUCGAACGGCAGCACGGGUGCUUGCACCUGGUGGCGAGUGGCGAACGGGUGAGUAAUAUAUCGGAACGUACCUUAUUGUGGGGGAUAACGCAGCGAAAGCUGUGCUAAUACCGCAUAAUCCCUAAGGGGGAAAGCGGGGGACCGUAAGGCCUCGCGCAAUUAGAGCGGCCGAUACCUGAUUAGCUAGUUGGUGAGGUAAAGGCCCACCAAGGCAACGAUCAGUAGCUGGUCUGAGAGGACGAUCAGCCACACUGGGACUGAGACACGGCCCAGGCUCCUACGGGAGGCAGCAGUGGGGAAUUUUGGACAAUGGGGGCAACCCUGAUCCAGCAAUGCCGCGUGAGUGAAGAAGGCCUUCGGGUUGCAAAGCUCUUUUGUCAGGGAAGAAACAGCAGCUCUAACACAGUAUGCGAAUGACGGUACCUGAAGAAUAAGCACCGGCUAACUACGUGCCAGCAGCCGCCGCCG
This 501-nucleotide ribosomal RNA is filed under the name uncultured bacterium. Its description in RNAcentral is "partial 16S ribosomal RNA". It matches the Rfam family "Bacterial small subunit ribosomal RNA", at positions 30 to 523 of the family's 1533-position model. The record is from RNAcentral.